Molecule: long non-coding RNA, 1286 nt
Organism: Chinchilla lanigera (long-tailed chinchilla)
Lineage: Eukaryota; Metazoa; Chordata; Mammalia; Rodentia; Chinchillidae
Exons: 3
Source: RefSeq, a predicted model, not a curated record
GGUGACAGAGCCCGGUGAGGCCGAAGCCCCGACAGGCAGAGGCCCUGCCGGAGUUCUGACCCUCUGCUGCCCAGCUCUGCCUGUGAGGUCCACACCUCCGCCUUGCCCAGCCGCAGACCUCCAGGCCUGGGAACUGGACCUUGAUGUGGUGCCCUGUUCAUUAUUUACUUGCUUCCACUUCCUCCAGCCUGGCCAACAGCAAUAGGGAGCUCUCUGGUUUAUGUGCUGCGAAUGUUGAAAAAUUCAGUCACACUGGAGCCUGUUUGUGCUUAAACUUUUGAUAUCUCGUUCACUAUGGACUCUUUCACAUAUUUUUAUGGUGUUCCAUUAAAGUGUCAUUUAUUUCCGUGAGUGCUUUUCAGGGACCCUUGAAGCUGUUCACGUGGGACCAGUACCUCCCUCUCCUCACCGUCAUCAAGCUGUAAGUCAGUGUUCCGUCCCCAGAUGGCCACUUGCCUGACUCCUGGACAGCUAAAGAAACCGUACGGGGACUAUCGGUGGGGUGGGUGAGAUUCUCCGCAACACGCCAUCCGCGCUCACAGACCGCUCUGUGUCACCUCUCGCUCCCUCUCACGGCAGGGGACACCGUCUGACUUCUUUAACUGCACCCUCCGAAGCAGAGACACCUGUUUCAGGGACAGCUACUGAGUAGAUGGUCCUUUGAGCAAUUUGCCCUGCUUGUGACCUGGAACAAAGAUGUGGAGACUCCCAAGCAAUCACGGACGUGGGGCUGCUUCUCUGCUGGAUGAUGCUUCCUGUACCUACAAAGCCUCGAGCCAAGGAAGAUCACUCCUGGCCAUCACCUCUUGCCUGAAGUCUUGCCUACCACUAUGAGCCUCUCUCCCUGGCCUCUCCUCAUGUGGCUGAGACUGUCUUUUGGACACUUAUGACUUCCCGGGGGAGAUUCCCAGAGCCUAAUGGGUCUCAGCUGGAAAAGGAUGCAGCCUGUUUUGAUAGAGUUACUUUCACACAGCCAGGCCAUGGCACAGGUUAUAAGAGUUUGUGCCUAUUAUGGAGAAGACCCACCAGACAACCCAACGCCAGAGGAUUUUGGUUUGGCUCAAAUGUUCCUCACAGCGGCUUGGGGAGCCUUCAAGGUGUUGUGUGUCAUGAGGUUUCUCAAAAAAAGGAAAUCACAAAUCAUACUGAAGGUGCUGGGUGGGCGUACUCAGGGGUGGGACAGUUGCCAGCAACAGUGAGGCCCUGGGUUCAAUCUCCAGUUCUGCAAAAAGUAAAAUAAAAUCACAUCAUGCUGAAUGUAUCACAUACGGCAUACUUACCCUAAA